UGAUAUUGAAAGGCAGAUAUGCGUAAUUUUUCCGUCCGAACAAAUUGAAUUUUACUCGAAUCGUAAACGAGGCAAAAUCUAUAACAAGCUAGCAAAUUUGAAAAGGCUUUCCAAAGACAUAUUCAAAGAAAAAUCAUCACCAGAAGACGAUGAAGUGAUAGAAGAAAAUAUGGCCGUCGCAUUGCAAUAUUUAAGGUUGCCUUCAAUUACAGCAGACGAGUUUGACCUAUACUGGCGAAAAUGUGCUAAUUAUCGUUUUCAGCAAAUUACGGAAUCAAAAAAUACUGCCGACAUUUUUCCACUCUGGCCUGAAUACAAAAAGCCGUCUGGUUCA
Molecule: long non-coding RNA, 334 nt
Organism: Calliphora vicina (urban bluebottle blowfly)
Lineage: Eukaryota; Metazoa; Arthropoda; Insecta; Diptera; Calliphoridae
Exons: 3
Source: RefSeq, a predicted model, not a curated record